Molecule: unclassified non-coding RNA, 221 nt
Filed under: uncultured Elaphomyces
Lineage: Eukaryota; Fungi; Ascomycota; Eurotiomycetes; Eurotiales; Elaphomycetaceae
Description: sequence contains ITS1
Source: RNAcentral
CCGAGGUUUCCCGGGGCCCUCCCUCUCGUUCCCGGGAGGGAGGCCCCCCCGAUCUCUCUUUCCACCGUGUUGAAUUCGACCCCUGUUGCUUCAGCGGGCGGGCCUGGAGGGUGAUGCUAGCUCCAACCCUCCACCGCCAUUGUGCCCGCUGGAGAUCUCCCUGUAACAUUCUGAUGGGUUUUAAGUGAAGAUUUGUCUGAGUGGGCGUGAAAUUCGUUAUA